AUUUGACCUGAGUUCAGACGAGACUACCCGCCGAACUUAAGCAUAUCAAUAAGCGGAGGAAAAGAAACUAACUAGGAUUCCCUUAGUAACGGCGAGUGAAACGGGAUAAGCCCAACUUGAAAAUCUACAGGCUUUGUCUGUCGAAUUGUAGUCUAUAGAAGCAACCUCUGAGGCGGACCUGGAUUAAGUUCCCUGGAAGGGGACGUCAGAGAGGGUGAGAACCCCGUCAUCCUUGGUCUUAGCCUCUUCACGAGAUGCUUUCGCAGAGUCGGGUUGGUUGAGAAUCCAGCCCUAAUUGGGAGGUACAUCCCUUCUAAGGCUAAAUACCGGUAGGAGACCGAUAGCGAACAAGUACCGCGAGGGAAAGAUGAAAAGGCCUUUGAAAAGAGAGUUAAAAAGUGCUUGAAAUUGUUGAGGGGGAAGUGUAUUAGAGGCGUGGGUGCUUCUAGGCUGUAUGUAGGCUCUAACCGGCCUGCCCCUCAGUGCUAGAAGCUGGUCAGCAUGGUUUAGCUUAGCGGGAUAAAAGCAGAGGUUGUUACUUUGCCUAUGCCGCUUCGCUGAUCGAGGUCUAAGAGCGCUUUGCCCUUCGGGAGCUGCGUUCUCAUGAUGCUGGCGGAAGCCCCUAAUACAGCCCGUCUUGAAACACGGACCAAGGAGUCUAACAUGUAUGCGAGUUGGUGGGUGGAAAACCCAUGAAGCGUAAGGAAACUAACUGGUGGGAUGGCCUGUGCCUGCACCAUCGACCGACCAUGAUCUUCUGUGAAAGGUUUGAGUACGAGCAUACCUGUUGGGACCCGAAAGAUGGUGAACUAUGCCUGAGCAGGGCGAAGCCAGAGGAAACUCUGGUGGAGGCUCGUAGAUGUGCUGACGUGCAAAUCGCUUUUCGGACUUGGGUAUAGGGGCGAAAGACUAAUCGAACCAUCUAGUAGCUGGUUCCCUCCGAAGUUUCCCCCAGGAUAGCUGGAGCUCUAACAGUUUUAUCAGGUAAAGCGAAUGAUUAGACGAUUAGGGGACGAAACGUCCUCGUCGUAUUCUCAAACUUUAAAUAGGUAAGAUGUCUGAAUUGCUUAAUUGAAUUCAGGCGAUCAAUGUGAGUUCCAUGUGGGCCAUUUUUGGUAAGCAGAACUGGCGAUGCGGGAUAAACCGAAAGCUGAGUUAAAGUGCCCAACUGCACGCUAACCUAGAUCCCACAAAGGGUGUUGAUUGAUAUGGACAGCAGGACGGUGGUCAUGGAAGUC
Molecule: ribosomal RNA, 1238 nt
Filed under: Tetraselmis marina
Lineage: Eukaryota; Viridiplantae; Chlorophyta; Chlorodendrophyceae; Chlorodendrales; Chlorodendraceae
Description: partial large subunit ribosomal RNA
Rfam family: Eukaryotic large subunit ribosomal RNA
Source: RNAcentral